GUGGAUUAGAUACCCUGGUAGUCCACGCCGUAAACGAUGGGCACUAGGUGUGGGGGGUGUCGACUCCCUCCGUGCCGACGCUAACGCAUUAAGUGCCCCGCCUGGGGAGUACGGCCGCAAGGCUAAAACUCAAAGGAAUUGACGGGGGCCCGCACAAGCAGCGGAGCAUGUGGUUUAAUUCGACGCAACGCGAAGAACCUUACCUGGGCUUGACAUGUUCCUGACCGCCGUGGAAACACGGUUUCCCUUCGGGGCAGGAUCACAGGUGGUGCAUGGUCGUCGACAGCU
This 288-nucleotide ribosomal RNA is filed under the name uncultured bacterium. RNAcentral's name for it is "partial 16S ribosomal RNA". It matches the Rfam family "Bacterial small subunit ribosomal RNA", at positions 773 to 1060 of the family's 1533-position model. The record is from RNAcentral.